UUCGCCCAGAGGGCGCUGGGGGGCUGCUCCUGGGGGUGCCCGAGGCGGGCCUGGGGGCAGCCUGGCCUCUGCCCCUCCCCCUGCCACAGGGGACACAUUGUCCUUGGAGGAGUGGAAGGUGGUGCUGCGGAGCCAGACGGGGUGGGGGGGAGACUCCCGUAAGGACCCAGUCCAUUGCAGCCGAGCACCAAGCACCCUUUAGGGUGGCAGGAGCGGGGCCUGGGGACCGCUGUCUGUGUGGUUCCAGGAGCUGUGUGCAAGGUGGCUGCCUCCUGUGAGUGGAGGAGGGUGCUCCGGUGACAGGUGCAGGGCCCCAGAGUGGGAGGACGCGGUGGGGGUAGGGCCUCAGGUGGCUGGCGCCGCUUCCUGAGACUUUUGUUAUGAUGUGUGAGGGUCUUCAAAGUGACUGAGGAUGGCUUAUGAAGAAAGCCUGCUGUCAUUUAACCGUGCAGCUUCAGGCUCCGUCUCGGGAAGACUAAGGCAGCAGGCGCUGGGCAGACCAGCCGGCAUGGCCGCGAGUCGUGCUUUCCGCCUCUCUGGACGCCUUUCCGGCUGUGGGGUGAUGGAGGGUUAGCUCAGACUCCUAGGAGACCAUUAGGUGAGUGAUUCUGUUUCAGAAGGCAACUGCCUGACGACCUGAUUCAACUAGCCAGUCGGCAAGGCCUUGCCUCAGGGAUGCAGAGGCGUGUGAGUGUGCGCACGUGUGUGCGCCUGUGUGAGCACACGGGCCCUGUGUGUGCUGGCCAAUGUGAAGACUUGAAGACUUGAAGACAGAGUCCACUGGGUGAACCCUCAGAAGCGGCUCAGGGAAGAGCCUGAGUGAGCGCCCGUGUUCAGAAGCAGCUGUUCUGGGAACUGAACUGGGCUGACACGGCUUUAGCUGGGUCCACAGACGCACAUCCCUAACGUCACUUCCUUAGAGGUGACUUCCAGUGACACCGAGCCUGCUCCAUGUUGGCAGAGAUUUUCUCUGGAACUUCAGUUUUGGGUGAAUGUGGUAAAAUUGAAGGCUUUAGUUGUUUUAUUGCCGUGGAGCUUCCGUGGCCGACGAGGGAGCGGGCUGCACUGAGGGGAGUCUGCCCCCUGUGGUUCUUGCCCUUCCCUUGUGAGGGAGGGGACUAGAUGGGUGCCUCGGGUCUGCUCGCCGAGUCUGUUGCCCGCACCUGCAUGAAGACCAGGGGCUGCCGGUCUUCCUCUGCUGACCACUGCUUGUCCCCGCACAACCACUUCUCUCCCGUGAGCGUGGCCGGAACCUGGCAGCUGACGGCACCUUGGAGGCCUGAGCUGAAGUGCUCUGAGCUCUGAGUUGCGGCCACUGUGGGCGACCAUGUGUUUCCUGUGAGUGUGGAAGAAAUGGCAGCCCAGAGUCAAGACAGGCUGCAGGCUGCCGUGUGGACAACUGGCAUUUGGAAAAGCAGCCGUUUCGACCGUUCGAUAGGCAGCGUGCGAGUGUGGGGGGGCUGCUGCCGCAGCAGUCCUGGCUGUGGCCCCGCGCUGGCAGGAGGCCUUCCCGUCCUGGGAUUUUAAACAUUAAGGCUUGACACGGGAAGCCACGCCCUGUUUGUCAGGCUAAGCUGUCUUCCCAUUUGUUUCUGUUUGGAAAGUAAGGUUCCUGGCUAAGCACAGGGUUUUCACUUAGCCUGACCUCAGUUCUGUGGUCAUUGGCCUUUGAAAGCACGGCAGCAGUCGACGUGAGCCAGAGCUGCAGCGUGGUCCCAGCAGCCACAGGGCAGAAGCAGUGCCUUCACCUCCUGGUGGGGUGUUGGUGUGUCAGCAGAAGACAGGUAACCGCGAGUAGGCCCACAAGUCUGACUGGCUCACAGUGGGUUGGUCGGGUCCAGCCGCUCUUUACAGCAGUGAAAUCUGUAAAAGGGCCAAUUUGGGAUGUUUUAAGAGUGGAUUUCAUUAACGAAAAUGUUCUGUAGGAUACAGACCCCUGUUACUCACUUCAAGGCACGUAGUCACCUUUUACCCAAGGAAGACGGAGAGGAGGCCGAUAGAUGGAGGUUGUUAGAUGGCCUGCACCCAGUGGACCUGCACUCCAGUCCUUGCUUCGUGAGUGACGUCACAGAUGGACUUCCGAACACUUAACCCGUGCCCCCGCGUGGGAAGGCCAGCUGGACACUGGCACGGCUGGCAAGGUAGAAGAGCAGCCUUUGAAUGAAAGAUCUGGCUGCAGAGUGAUCCUGGAGGUCCAGGUGACGUCCACUUCACGAAGCAGCAGCCUGAGAGCUGAGCUGCCACAGAAACCGGGCACUGUGGGCGAUUACCGUAAAGAUGACUGGGGGAUCACGGAUGGCGGGGCCUGUGCUGGGCCUCGGAGACAUCGCCGUUUCGUCGUCACCUGCCAGGAGCACUCUCCGUGCCACGUGGGCCGUCCCAGUGCGCCCCUCGCUGAGGACUGUCAUUAUAAUUCAUACUGGAAUCAGUUGGAAUUGUUUCCUUCCCAGUCACAUGGUACUUGAUUCUACCAGGACGUUAUAAACACAAACAUAUUAACUACCCGUAUUCUGCGUCAGACACACAUCUUAGGUACCUCAAUGUGGAGAGAUAAUUUAGUUGCUAUUAUUUUGUCACAAUGCACCAAUUUCAAAGAGAAUUAAAAUAAUAUCACAUGG
Molecule: long non-coding RNA, 2618 nt
Organism: Ictidomys tridecemlineatus (thirteen-lined ground squirrel)
Lineage: Eukaryota; Metazoa; Chordata; Mammalia; Rodentia; Sciuridae
Source: RefSeq, a predicted model, not a curated record